This 557-nucleotide small RNA is filed under the name uncultured Fusobacterium sp. Its description in RNAcentral is "bacterial SSU rRNA". The stretch from base 1 to 338 matches the Rfam family "Bacterial small subunit ribosomal RNA", at positions 1197 to 1533 of the family's 1533-position model. Lineage: Bacteria; Fusobacteriati; Fusobacteriota; Fusobacteriia; Fusobacteriales; Fusobacteriaceae. The record is from RNAcentral.
GCCCCUUAUACGCUGGGCUACACACGUGCUACAAUGGGUAGUACAGAGAGUCGCAAAGCCGCGAGGUGGAGCUAAUCUCAGAAAACUAUUCUUAGUUCGGAUUGUACUCUGCAACUCGAGUACAUGAAGUUGGAAUCGCUAGUAAUCGCGAAUCAGCAAUGUCGCGGUGAAUACGUUCUCGGGUCUUGUACACACCGCCCGUCACACCACGAGAGUUGGUUGCACCUGAAGUAGCAGGCCUAACCGCAAGGAGGGAUGCUCCGAGGGUGUGAUUAGCGAUUGGGGUGAAGUCGUAACAAGGUAUCCGUACGGGAACGUGCGGAUGGAUCACCUCCUUUCUAAGGAGUAUAUGUCUUUCUCUAUUCUAUUGGUAAUGUUCUUAGAACAUUGCACUGACCAUUGGAAACUAUAUAGUGGACCAACCAUGAAAAAAAUUAACUCUAACAAUUUCUUAGAGUUAGCUGUCAAAAAAAAUAGGUUAAAAUAAUUAAGGGCACACAAAGGAUGCCUAGGUAGUAAGAGCCGAUGAAGGACGUGGUAAGCUGCGAUAAGCCUAG